This 90-nucleotide transfer RNA is filed under the name bacterium. Its description in RNAcentral is "tRNA-Ser". It matches the Rfam family "tRNA". From Rfam's summary of the family: Transfer RNA (tRNA) molecules are approximately 80 nucleotides in length. Their secondary structure includes four short double-helical elements and three loops (D, anti-codon, and T loops). The record is from RNAcentral.
GGUGGGGUGGCAGAGUGGUUAAACGCGCCUGACUCGAAAUCAGGAAUGGUCGCAAGGCCAUCGGGGGUUCGAAUCCUCUCCCCACCGCCA